UGGGACUGAAUUUCUUAAGAAAUUUGUAUUGCAUUUCAAUCGAAGUUCAGAUUGGUCUCCCUAUUGUGCCAAGCCAAUGCUUGACUUUGUUCUUUAAUGAAAAAGGGAACAAAGUCAGUCUAAGUGUAUCAUCAAUAAAGUUCUGGAUUUUCAUAGCAGAACAUAUUUCUAAGAACUCAUCCAAAUGCUUAUAAGAAUCUUCAUUGAUAUUCCCAUAGAAAGAUGAGAGCAUCUGGAUUAUG
This 242-nucleotide long non-coding RNA is filed under the name Elaeis guineensis (African oil palm). Its description in RNAcentral is "long non-coding RNA (EGUI_LNC065969)". Lineage: Eukaryota; Viridiplantae; Streptophyta; Magnoliopsida; Arecales; Arecaceae. The record is from RNAcentral.